RNAcentral lists this transfer RNA (68 nucleotides) under Marmota monax (woodchuck). RNAcentral's name for it is "tRNA.Gly". Lineage: Eukaryota; Metazoa; Chordata; Mammalia; Rodentia; Sciuridae. The record is from RNAcentral.
GGAUUGUAGCUCAGUGGUAGAGGGCUUGCCUACCAUGCGUGAGGCACUGGGUUCAAUCCCCGGCACCA